Molecule: long non-coding RNA, 2421 nt
Filed under: Brassica napus (rape)
Lineage: Eukaryota; Viridiplantae; Streptophyta; Magnoliopsida; Brassicales; Brassicaceae
Description: long non-coding RNA (BNAP_LNC011063)
Source: RNAcentral
GGGUAGGGUUUAAGGUUUAGUGAUUAGGGUUUAGGGUUUAAAUUUGGGUUUAGGGUUUAGUGGUUAGGGUUUAGGGUUUAGCAUUUGGAAGGUGGGAGUUGAGGUUGGGGUCCAUAUAACUUCUUACAUUCAAGCAUAGACGUUUCAUAAUUUCACCAAUAUGUACUAUACUAUUUAUUUUGUUCCAUUCUAUUUGGGUUUAAGUUUUUAUUUGUAUUUAAAUUUAGGUUUAGAGUUUAGUGAUUAGGGUUUAGGGUUUAAAUUUGGGUUUAGGGUUUAGUGAUUAGGGUUUAGGGUUUAAAUUUGGGUUUAGGAUUUAGUGGUUAGGGUUUAGCAUUUGGAAGGUGGGGGUUGAAGUUGGGGUCCAUAUAACUUCUUACAUUUAAGCAUAGACGUUUCAUAAUUUCACCAAUAUGUACUAUACUAUUUAUUUUGUUCCAUUCUAUUUGGGUUUAGGGUUUUUAUUUUUAUUUAAAUUUGGGUUUAGGGUUUAGUGAUUAGGGUUUAGGGUUUAGUAAUUAGGGUUUAGGGUUUAAAUUUGGGUUUAAGGUUUAGUGAUUAGGGUUUAGGGUUUAUGGUUUAAAUUUGGGUUUAUGGUUUACUGAUUAGGGUUUAGGGUUUAAAUUUGGGUUUAGGGUUUAGUGGUUAGGGUUUACCAUUUGGAAGGUGGGGGUUGAGGUUGGGGUCCAUAUAACUUCUUACAUUCAAGCAUAGACGUUUCAUAAUUUCACCAAUAUCUACUAAACUAUUUAUUUUGUUCCAUUCUAUUUGGGUUUAGGGUUUUUAUUUGUAUUUAAAUUUGGGUUUAGGGUUUGGUGAUUAGGGUUUAGGGUUUAAAUUUGGGUUUAGGGUUUAGUGAUUAGGGUUUACGGUUUAAUGAUUAGGGUUUAGGGUUUAAAUUUGGGUUUAGAGUUUAGUGGUUAGGGUUUAGCAUUUGGAAGGUGGGGGUUGAGGUUGGGGUCCAUAUAACUUCUUACAUUCAAGCAUAGACGUUUCAUAAUUUCACCAAUAUCUACUAAACUAUUUAUUUUGUUCCAUUCUAUUUGGGUUUAGGGUUUUUAUUUGUAUUUAAAUUUGGGUUCAGGGUUUAGUGAUUAGGGUUUAGGGUUUAAAUUUGGGUUUAGGGUUUAGUGAUUAGGGUUUACGGUUUAAAUUUGGGUUUACGGUUUAAAUUUGGGUUUGCGGUUUAAUGAUUAGGGUUUAGGGUUUAAAUUUGGUUUUAGGGUUUAGCAUUUGGAAGGUGGGGGUUGAGGUUGGGGUCCAUAUAACUUCUUACAUUCAAGCAUAGACGUUUCAUAAUUUCACCAAUAUGUACUAUACAAUUUAUUUUGUUCCAUUAUAUUUGGGUUUAGGGUUUUUAUUUGUAUUUAAAUUUGGGUUUAGGUUUUAGUGAUUAGGGUUUAGGGUUUAAAUUUGGGUUUAAGGUUUAGUGAUUAGGGUUUAGGGUUUAAAUUUGGGUUUAAGGUUUAGUGAUUAGGGUUUAGGGUUUAAAUUUGGGUUUAUGGUUUACUGGUUAGGGUUUAGGGUUUAAAUUUGGGUUUAGGGUUUAGUGGUUGGGGUUUAGCAUUUGGAAGGUGGGGGUUGAGGUUGGGGUCCAUAUAACUUCUUACAUUCAAGCAUAGACGUUUCAUAAUUUCACCAAUAUGUACUAUAUUAUUUAUUUUGUUCCAUUCUAUUCGGGUUUAGGGUUUUUAUUUGUAUUUAAAUUUGGGUUUAGGGUUUAGUGAUUAGGGUUUAGGGUUUAAAUUUGGGUUUAGGGUUUAGUGGUUGGGGUUUAGCAUUUGGAAGGUGGGGGUUGAGGUUGGGGUCCAUAUAACUUCUUACAUUCAAGCAUAGACGUUUCAUAAUUUCACCAAUAUGUACUAUAUUAUUUAUUUUGUUCCAUUCUAUUCGGGUUUAGGGUUUUUAUUUGUAUUUAAAUUUGGGUUUAGGGUUUAGUGAUUAGGGUUUAGGGUUUAAAUUUGGGUUUAGGGUUUAGUGAUUAGGGUUUAGGGUUUAAAUUUGGGUUUAGGGUUUAGUAGUUAGGGAUUAGUGGUUAGGGUUUAGCAUUUGGAAGGUGUGGGUUGAGGUUGGGGUCCAUAUAACUUCUUACAUGCAAGCAUAGACGUUUCAUAAUUUCACCAAUAUGUAUUAUACUAUUUAUUUUGUUUUAUUCUAUUUGGGUUUAAGGUUUAUAUUUGGAUUUAAGAUUUAUAUUUUGGUUUUGAAUCUAGAGAAUAAGGUUUAGGGUUUAAUAUUUAGGGGUUGUGGAUGGGAUUGUGAUAUGCUUUAUUAUUUUGGAUUGAUAUGGGAUUUGUGUUUUAUAUUAUUUUAUUGAUAUGAAAUAUAACACUAUGGUUUGAGUGUCGAAGUAGAUGGAAUACACCAUUUAUUGUAAAAAUGUUUUUACUUUGUCUACAUAAUUACUAAACACAAUGAAAC